CGGGCCAGUGACGAUGACUGUGGCGUAUGAGACACCGACAAUGAAUACACGUGUCGGGAACUCUGAGGACCCA
Molecule: small nucleolar RNA, 73 nt
Organism: Choloepus didactylus (southern two-toed sloth)
Lineage: Eukaryota; Metazoa; Chordata; Mammalia; Pilosa; Megalonychidae
Product: small nucleolar RNA SNORD113/SNORD114 family
Exons: 1
Source: RefSeq, a predicted model, not a curated record